This 662-nucleotide ribosomal RNA is filed under the name Aeromonas hydrophila subsp. hydrophila. RNAcentral describes it as "partial 23S ribosomal RNA". It matches the Rfam family "Bacterial large subunit ribosomal RNA", at positions 1 to 716 of the family's 2925-position model. Lineage: Bacteria; Pseudomonadati; Pseudomonadota; Gammaproteobacteria; Aeromonadales; Aeromonadaceae. The record is from RNAcentral.
GGUUAAGUGACUAAGCGUACAUGGUGGAUGCCUUGGCAGUCAGAGGCGAUGAAGGACGUACUAACCUGCGAUAAGCCGUGAGCAGUCGGUAAGAGACAUUACGACUCACGGAUUUCCGAAUGGGGAAACCCACUUAGCAUAAGCUAGGUAUCGCUACGUGAAUACAUAGCGUAGCGAGGCGAACCGGGAGAACUGAAACAUCUAAGUACCCCGAGGAAAAGAAAUCAACCGAGAUUCCCUCAGUAGCGGCGAGCGAACGGGGAUUAGCCCUUAAGCAUCUUGGAAGUUAGUGGAACGGUCCUGGAAAGGCCGGCGAUACAGGGUGAUAGCCCCGUACACGAAAACAACCUUGAUGUGAAAUCGAGUAGGGCGGGACACGUGACAUCCUGUCUGAAUAUGGGGGGACCAUCCUCCAAGGCUAAAUACUCCUGACUGACCGAUAGUGAACCAGUACCGUGAGGGAAAGGCGAAAAGAACCCCUGUGAGGGGAGUGAAAUAGAACCUGAAACCGUGUACGUACAAGCAGUGGGAGCCCUUCGGGGUGACUGCGUACCUUUUGUAUAAUGGGUCAGCGACUUACAUUUUGUAGCGAGGUUAACCGUAUAGGGGAGCCGUAGGGAAACCGAGUCUUAACUGGGCGUCUAGUUGCAAGGUGUAGACCC